UUUGCCUACGGGAGGCAGCAGUAGGGAAUCUUCCACAAUGGACGAAAGUCUGAUGGAGCAACGCUGCGUGAGUGAAGAAGGGUUUCGGCUCGUAAAGCUCUGUUGGUAGGGAAGAAAGAUAGAGGUAGUAACUGGCCUUUAUUUGACGGUAAUUACUUAGAAAGUCACGGCUAACUACGUGGCAGCAGCCGCGGUAAUUAGUAGGUGGGAAGCGUUGUCCGGGUUUAUUGG
Molecule: ribosomal RNA, 231 nt
Filed under: uncultured bacterium
Lineage: Bacteria
Description: partial 16S ribosomal RNA
Rfam family: Bacterial small subunit ribosomal RNA
Source: RNAcentral